CCUACGGGAGGCAGCAGUGGGGAAUAUUGGGCAAUGGAGGCAACUCUGACCCAGCAAUGCCGCGUGAGUGAUGAAGGUAAUUUUAUUGUAAAGCUCUUUUCUUUGGAACGAAUAAAUGACGGUACCAAAGGAAUAAGCCCCGGCUAACUACGUGCCAGCAGCCGCGGUAAUACGUAGGGGGCAGGGUUAAUUGGAAUUAAUGGGCGUAAAGGGGUCGUAGGGGGUAUGUAAAGUCAAGGGUGAAAUCCCCGCGCUCAACGUGGGUACUGCAUUUGAAACUGGCAAACUGGAGUGUGUGAGAGGAUAGUGGAAGUCCAGGUGUAGGAGUGAAAUGCGUAGAUAUCAGGAGGAACAUCAGUGGCGAAGGCGACUAUCUGGCACAUAACUGACGCUGAGGAGCGAAAGCGUGGGUAGCAAACAGGAUUAGAUACCCGAGUAGUC
RNAcentral lists this ribosomal RNA (441 nucleotides) under uncultured bacterium. RNAcentral's name for it is "partial 16S ribosomal RNA". It matches the Rfam family "Bacterial small subunit ribosomal RNA", at positions 338 to 795 of the family's 1533-position model. The record is from RNAcentral.